AGUCUGGUGCCAGCAGCUGCGGUAAUACCAGCUCCAAUAGCGUAUAUUAAAGUUGUUGCAGUUAAAAAGCUCGUAGUUGGACUUGUGUGCGCUGUCCGCGGGUGGCCUGCGCCCAAAAGGGCGUUUCGGUUCGGCCCCGGUGGCGCCUUGAAAUCUGCAGCUGGGGGGACGUUGGCCUUAACUGGUCGGCGACCGCACGCCGGCUGCUCGGUUACUGUGAGAAAAUUAGAGUGUUCAAGGCAGGCAUUGGGUGCAAUUGAAUACAUUAGCAUGGAAUAAUAAAAUAUGGCUCCUGCCGUAUUUUGUUGGUUUUGACUGGUGGGAGUAAUGAUUGAUAGGGACGGUUGGGGGUGCUAGUAUUGAGCGGCCAGAGGUGAAAUUCAUGGAUUCGCUCAAGACUAACUUAUGCGAAAGCAUUCACCAAGGACGUCCUCUUUAAUCAAGAACGAAAGUUGGGGGAUCGAAGACGAUCAGAUACCGUCGUAGUCUCAACCAUAAACUAUGUCGACUUGGGAUCGGCGGUAGUUUUUUCAUUAAGACACUGUCGGGACCACGGGAGAAAUCAAAGUGUCUGGACUCUGGGGGAAGUAUGGUCGCAAGGCUGAAACUUGAAGGAAUUGACGGAAGGGCACCACCAGGAGUGGAGCCUGCGGCUUAAUUUGACACAACACGGGGAAACUUACCAGGUCCAGAGAUGUAGAGGAUUGACAGAUUGAGGCUCUUUCUUGAUCACUUCGGUGGUGGUGCAUGGCCGUUCUUAGUUGGUGGAGUGAUUUGUCUGGUUAACUCCGUUAACGAACGAGACCUCAGCCUGCUAGUGUAGUCGGCUGGAUUGCCUUUGGCGAUCCGUGAUUUCGACUUCUUAGAGGGACAAUCGACGCGCAGUCGAUGGAAGUUUGAGGCAAUAACAGGUCUGUGAUGCCCUUAGAUGUUCUGGGCCGCACGCGCGCUACACUGCUGGGCUCAGCGAGUUUUACUUGGCCGAGAGGCCCGGUUAAUCUUGUGAAAUCCCAGCGUGCUUGGGCUCGCCUCCUGCAACUGGAGGCGCCAACGAGGAAUUCCUAGUAGACGCAGGUCAUCAACCUGCAUCGAUUACGUCCCUGCCCUUUGUACACACCGCCCGUCGUUCCAUAAGAGUGAGGCAUCCGGUGAAUUCUCGGGAGAGCCUGGGCGUGGCCAGCAAUGGUCUGCU
This 1192-nucleotide ribosomal RNA is filed under the name metagenome. Its description in RNAcentral is "bacterial SSU rRNA". It matches the Rfam family "Eukaryotic small subunit ribosomal RNA", at positions 558 to 1743 of the family's 1831-position model. The record is from RNAcentral.